AACCAUAGAAACCUGCGGAGUACCUGCGGAAGGAUCAUUACCGAGUUUACAACUCCCAAACCCAUGUGAACAUACCUAUCGUUGCUUCGGCGGAUCGCCCCGGGCGCCUUGCGUGCCCCGGAUCCAGGCGGCCGCCGGGGGACCUUAACUCUUGUUUUUACUGAGAAUCUUCUGAGUCGUUUUUACAAAUAAAUAAAAACUUUCAACAAUGGAUCU
RNAcentral lists this unclassified non-coding RNA (216 nucleotides) under soil metagenome. Its description in RNAcentral is "partial contains 5.8S ribosomal RNA, internal transcribed spacer 2, and large subunit ribosomal RNA". The record is from RNAcentral.